RNAcentral lists this ribosomal RNA (462 nucleotides) under uncultured bacterium. RNAcentral describes it as "partial 16S ribosomal RNA". It matches the Rfam family "Bacterial small subunit ribosomal RNA", at positions 32 to 523 of the family's 1533-position model. The record is from RNAcentral.
AAUCAACGCUGGCGGCGUGCCUAACACAUGCAAGUCGCACGAGAAAGGGCCUUCGGAUCUGAGUAAAGUGGCGCACGGGUGAGUAACACGUGAAUUAUCUACCUUCGAGUGGGGAAUAACUUCGGGAAACCGAGGCUAAUACCGCAUAUAUCUACGGAUCAAAGCAGUAAUGCGCUUGAAGAGGAGUUCGCGGCAGAUUAGUUAGUUGGCGGGGUAAUGGCCCACCAAGACGAUGAUCUGUAUCCGGCCUGAGAGGGCGCAUGGACACACUGGAACUGAAACACGGUCCAGACUCCUACGGGAGGCAGCAGUGGGGAAUUUUGCGCAAUGGGGGAAACCCUGACGCAGCAACGCCGCGUGGAGGAUGAAGCCUCUUGGGACGUAAACUCCUUUCGAUAGGGAAGAUUAUGACGGUACCUAUAGAAGAAGCCCCGGCUAACUUCGUGCCAGCCGCCGCGGUAA